ACGCGAAGAACCUUACCCAGGCUUGAACAGCGAGUGACCAGCGAUGAAAGUCGCCUUCCGCAAGGACACUCGUAGAGGUGCUGCAUGGCUGUCGUCAGCUCGUGUCGUGAGAUGUUGGGUUAAGUCCCGCAACGAGCGCAACCCUUGUUUGCUGUUGCCAUCACGUUAUGGUGGGCACUCUGCAAAGACUGCCGGUGAUAAACCGGAGGAAGGUGGGGAUGACGUCAAGUCAGCAUGGCCUUUAUGUCUGGGGCUACACACGUGCUACAAUGGCCGACACAAACCGUCGCAAAACCGUAAGGUCGAGCUAAUCGGAUAAAGUCGGUCUCAGUUCGGAUUGCAGGCUGCAACUCGCCUGCAUGAAGUUGGAAUCGCUAGUAAUCGCGGAUCAGCACGCCGCGGUGAAUACGUUCCCGGGCCUUGUA
This 425-nucleotide ribosomal RNA is filed under the name uncultured Acidobacterium sp. RNAcentral describes it as "bacterial SSU rRNA". It matches the Rfam family "Bacterial small subunit ribosomal RNA", at positions 959 to 1385 of the family's 1533-position model. The record is from RNAcentral. Lineage: Bacteria; Pseudomonadati; Acidobacteriota; Terriglobia; Terriglobales; Acidobacteriaceae.